GACGAACGCUGGCGGCGUGCUUAACACAUGCAAGUCGAACGGAAAGGCCCUGCUUUUGUGGGGUGCUCGAGUGGCGAACGGGUGAGUAACACGUGAGUAACCUGCCCUUGACUUUGGGAUAACUUCAGGAAACUGGGGCUAAUACCGGAUAGGAGCUCCUGCUGCAUGGUGGGGGUUGGAAAGUUUCGGCGGUUGGGGAUGGACUCGCGGCUUAUCAGCUUGUUGGUGGGGUAGUGGCUUACCAAGGCUUUGACGGGUAGCCGGCCUGAGAGGGUGACCGGCCACAUUGGGACUGAGAUACGGCCCAGACUCCUACGGGAGGCAGCAGUGGGGAAUAUUGCACAAUGGGCGGAAGCCUGAUGCAGCAACGCCGCGUGCGGGAUGACGGCCUUCGGGUUGUAAACCGCUUUCGCCUGUGACGAAGCGUGAGUGACGGUAAUGGGUAAAGAAGCACCGGCUAACUACGUGCCAGCAGCCGCGGUGAUACGUAGGGUGCGAGCGUUGUCCGGAUUUAUUGGGCGUAAAGGGCUCGUAGGUGGUUGAUCGCGUCGGAAGUGUAAUCUUGGGGCUUAACCCUGAGCGUGCUUUCGAUACGGGUUGACUUGAGGAAGGUAGGGGAGAAUGGAAUUCCUGGUGGAGCGGUGGAAUGCGCAGAUAUCAGGAGGAACACCAGUGGCGAAGGCGGUUCUCUGGGCCUUUCCUGACGCUGAGGAGCGAAAGCGUGGGGAGCGAACAGGCUUAGAUACCCUGGUAGUCCAUGCUGUAAACGGUGGGUACUAGGUGUGGGGUCCAUUCCACGGGUUCCGUGCCGUAGCUAACGCUUUAAGUACCCCGCCUGGGGAGUACGGCCGCAAGGCUAAAACUCAAAGGAAUUGACGGGGCCCCGCACAAGCGGCGGAGCAUGCGGAUUAAUUCGAUGCAACGCGUAGAACCUUACCUGGGUUUGACAUGGAUCGGGAGCGCUCAGAGAUGGGUGUGCCUCUUUUGGGGUCGGUUCACAGGUGGUGCAUGGCUGUCGUCAGCUCGUGUCGUGAGAUGUUGGGUUAAGUCCCGCAACGAGCGCAACCCUUGUUCACUGUUGCCAGCACGUUAUGGUGGGGACUCAGUGGAGACCGCCGGGGUCAACUCGGAGGAAGGUGGGGAUGACGUCAAGUCAUCAUGCCCCUUAUGUCCAGGGCUUCACGCAUGCUACAAUGGCUGGUACAGAGAGUGGCGAGCCUGUGAGGGUGAGCGAAUCUCGGAAAGCCGGUCUCAGUUCGGAUUGGGGUCUGCAACUCGACCUCAUGAAGUCGGAGUCGCUAGUAAUCGCAGAUCAGCAACGCUGCGGUGAAUACGUUCCCGGGGCU
Molecule: ribosomal RNA, 1346 nt
Filed under: uncultured bacterium
Lineage: Bacteria
Description: bacterial SSU rRNA
Rfam family: Bacterial small subunit ribosomal RNA
Source: RNAcentral